CGGUCGCUGAGGGAACAUUGUUCAUUAUGACACCUGCUGACUGAUGGAAGGAAGCAUGCUUCAGGACAAAAUGUGACUACAAGUUGACAACAUUGCACUGGCGGGAGCAGCGACGCUGAAAAUCCACUUUUAGGGGAACGCUGCAACACAGCUGCUGAGACGUGGCCAUUAGUUGAUGUGUCUUGUGGACGGAAAGCGUGUCAACAGUUGCUGAUAUUCAUGAGUGGCCACAGGAUUUGCAUGGUCACUUGAGUCCAGACUGCAGGACCAGAUGGAUGAAAGAAGAACGCGGAAAGAACAUGUUCAAGAAAUAAAAUGUUUCGAUGCAUAAUACAAACCCCAAAACCAGUGAAGUGGCCCUACGAUGAGGGGGCGACUUGUCCAGGGUGUACCCCGCCUUCCGCACGAUUGUAGCUGAGAUAGGCGCCAGCGCCCCCCACGACCCC
This is a long non-coding RNA of Nerophis ophidion (straightnose pipefish), 446 nucleotides long. RefSeq lists it as uncharacterized. NCBI's taxonomy places the organism in Eukaryota, Metazoa, Chordata, Actinopteri, Syngnathiformes, Syngnathidae. The transcript has 4 exons. The record is from RefSeq and is a predicted model, not a curated record.